AUGCCGCACCACUCUCUUUCUGUGCUGUCCGACCUCCCCCGCCACCCCCAUUCCGUGUUUUCGGACUACCACCCCCAUUCUGUGCUGUCCGACCUCCCCCGCCACCCCCAUUCCGUGUUUUCGGACUACCACCCCCAUUCUGUGCUCUCGGAGCUCUCCCUACACCCCGAUUCGGUGUUCUCGGACUACCACCCCCCAACUGGGCUCUCUGAGCUCCCUCGACACUCCGAUUCGGUGUUCUCGGACUACCACCCCCCAACUGGGCUCUCUGAGCUCCCCCGACACCCAGAUUCGGUGUUCACGGACUAUCAGCCCCCAACUGGGCUCUCUGAGCUCCCCAGACACCCAGAUUCGGUGUUCACGGACUACCAGCCCCCAUCUGGGCUCUCUGAGCUCCCUCGACACCCAGAUUCGGUGUUCACGGACUACCAGCCCCCAUCUGGGCUCUCUGAGCUCCCCCGACACCCAGAUUCAGUGUUCACGGACUACCAGCCCCCGUCUGGGCUCUCUGAGCUCCCCAGACACCCCGAUUCGGUGUUCACGGACUACCAGCCCCCGUCUGGGCUCUCUGAGCUCCCUCGACACCCCGAUUCGGUGUUCACGGACUACCAGCCCCCGUCUGGGCUCUCUGAGCUCCCUCGACACCCCGAUUCGGUGUUCACGGACUACCAGCCCCCGUCUGGGCUCUCUGAGCUCCCGCGACACCCCGAUUCGGUGUUCACAGACUACCAGCCCCCAUCUGGGCUCUCUGAGCUCCCGCGACACCCUGAUUCAGUGUUCUCGGACUACUACCCGCAGUCCGUGUUCUCUGACUACCACCCCCAGUCCGUGCUCAAUGACCUCUCCCACCACCCCCAUUCCUUGUUCUCUGAUGUGUCUGAUUAUUCACAUUUUGUACUCUCAGACCACCCCCAUGACCCCCAUUCCGUGCUCUCUGACCUUUCCAACUACCCCCAUUUUGUGCUCACUGACCACCCUCACUACCCCUAUUCUGUGCUCGCUGAUCUCUCCCACUACCCACAUUCCGUGCUCUCUGACCUCUCCCACUACUCCAGUUCUGCGUUCUCUGACCUCCCACAGCCCCACUUUGUGAUCCCUGCCUUCCUGUACCACCCCCAUUUCGUGUUCUCCGACAACCACCCCCACUGCCAGUUUGUGCUCUCUGACAUCUAUCCCUACUGCUACUUUGUGCUGUGA
RNAcentral lists this long non-coding RNA (1197 nucleotides) under Monodelphis domestica (gray short-tailed opossum). RNAcentral's name for it is "lncRNA (ENSMODG00000047748.1)". The record is from RNAcentral. Lineage: Eukaryota; Metazoa; Chordata; Mammalia; Didelphimorphia; Didelphidae.